ACGCAGUAACGGGCUUGCUCGUUAUUGAGUGGCGGAAGGGUUAGUAAUACAUGGGUAACCUGCCUUUGACCUGGGGAUAACAGUUGGAAACGACUGCUAAUACCGAAUGAGGUGUUUGGAAGCAAUUCCGUAACAUCAAAGUGGAGGAUCGCAAGACCUUGCGGUCAAAGAGGGGCCCAUGGGAUAUCAGCUAGUUGGAGUGGUAAUGGCACACCAAGG
RNAcentral lists this ribosomal RNA (219 nucleotides) under uncultured Chlamydiales CRG75. RNAcentral describes it as "partial 16S ribosomal RNA". It matches the Rfam family "Bacterial small subunit ribosomal RNA", at positions 66 to 273 of the family's 1533-position model. The record is from RNAcentral. Lineage: Bacteria; Pseudomonadati; Chlamydiota; Chlamydiia; Chlamydiales.